RNAcentral lists this ribosomal RNA (468 nucleotides) under uncultured bacterium. RNAcentral describes it as "partial 16S ribosomal RNA". It matches the Rfam family "Bacterial small subunit ribosomal RNA", at positions 28 to 507 of the family's 1533-position model. The record is from RNAcentral.
GACGAACGCUGGCGGCGUGCUUAACACAUGCAAGUCGAACGGAAAGGCCCUGCUUUUGUGGGGUGCUCGAGUGGCGAACGGGUGAGUAACACGUGAGUAGCCUGCCCUUGACUUUGGGAUAACUUCAGGAAACUGGGGCUAAUACCGGAUAGGAGCUCCUGCUGCAUGGUGGGGGUUGGAAAGUUUCGGCGGUUGGGGAUGGACUCGCGGCUUAUCAGCUUGUUGGUGGGGUAGUGGCUUACCAAGGCUUUGACGGGUAGCCGGCCUGAGAGGGUGGCCGGCCACAUUGGGACUGAGAUACGGCCCAGACUCCUACGGGAGGCAGCAGUGGGGAAUAUUGCACAAUGGGCGGAAGCCUGAUGCAGCAACGCCGCGUGCGGGAUGACGGCCUUCGGGUUGUAAACCGCUUUCGCCUGUGACGAAGCGUGAGUGACGGUAAUGGGUAAAGAAGCACCGGCUAACUACGUG